RNAcentral lists this ribosomal RNA (270 nucleotides) under uncultured archaeon. RNAcentral's name for it is "partial 16S ribosomal RNA". It matches the Rfam family "Archaeal small subunit ribosomal RNA", at positions 477 to 747 of the family's 1478-position model. The record is from RNAcentral.
CAGCUCUCCGAGUGGUAGGGAUGAUUAUUGGGCUUAAAGCGUCCGUAGCCGGCUUAGCAAGUCUCCUGUUAAAUUCAGCGACCUAAUCGUUGAGCCGCGGGAGAUACUACUAGGCUAGGAGGCGGGAGAGGUCGACGGUACUUCUGGGGUAGGGGUGAAAUCCUAUAAUCCCAGGAGGACCACCAGUGGCGAAGGCUGUCGACUAGAACGCGCCCGACGGUGAGGGAUGAAAGCUGGGGGAGCGAACCGGAUUAGAUACCCGAGUAGUCC